This 1521-nucleotide ribosomal RNA is filed under the name metagenome. RNAcentral describes it as "bacterial SSU rRNA". It matches the Rfam family "Bacterial small subunit ribosomal RNA". The record is from RNAcentral.
AGAGUUUGAUCAUGGCUCAGAUUGAACGCUGGCGGCAGGCCUAACACAUGCAAGUCGAACGGUAACAGGAAACAGCUUGCUGUUUCGCUGACGAGUGGCGGACGGGUGAGUAAUGUCUGGGAAACUGCCUGAUGGAGGGGGAUAACUACUGGAAACGGUAGCUAAUACCGCAUAACGUCGCAAGACCAAAGAGGGGGACCCUCGGGCCUCUUGCCAUCGGAUGUGCCCAGAUGGGAUUAGCUUGUUGGUGGGGUAACGGCUCACCAAGGCGACGAUCCCUAGCUGGUCUGAGAGGAUGACCAGCCACACUGGAACUGAGACACGGUCCAGACUCCUACGGGAGGCAGCAGUGGGGAAUAUUGCACAAUGGGCGCAAGCCUGAUGCGGCCAUGCCGCGUGUAUGAAGAAGGCCUUCGGGUUGUAAAGUACUUUCAGCGGGGAGGAAGGGAGUAAGUUAAUACCUUUGCUCAUUGACGUUACCCGCAGAAGAAGCACCGGCUAACUCCGUGCCAGCAGCCGCGGUAAUACGGAGGGUGCAAGCGUUAAUCGGAAUUACUGGGCGUAAAGCGCACGCAGGCGGUUUGUUAAGUCAGAUGUGAAAUCCCCGGGCUCAACCUGGGAACUGCGUCUGAUACUGGCAAGCUUGAGUCUCGUAGAGGGGGGUAGAAUUCCAGGUGUAGCGGUGAAGUGCGUAGAGAUCUGGAGGAAUACCGGUGGCGAAGGCGGCCCCCUGGACGAAGACUGACGCUCAGGUGCGAAAGCGUGGGGAGCAAACAGGAUUAGAUACCCUGGUAGUCCACGCCGUAAACGAUGUCGACUUGGAGGUUGUGCCCUUGAGGCGUGGCUUCCGGAGCUAACGCGUUAAGUCGACCGCCUGGGGAGUACGGCCGCAAGGUUAAAACUCAAAUGAAUUGACGGGGGCCCGCACAAGCGGUGGAGCAUGUGGUUUAACUCGAUGCAACGCGAAGAACCUUGCCUGGUCUUGACAUCCACGGAAGUUUUCAGAGAUGAGAAUGUGCCUUCGGGAACCGUGAGACAGGUGCUGCAUGGCUGUCGUCAGCUCGUGUUGUGAAAUGUUGGGUUAAGUCCCGCAACGAGCGCAACCCUUAUCCUUUGUUGCCAGCGGUCCGGCCGGGAACUCAAAGGAGACUGCCAGUGAUAAACUGGAGGAAGGUGGGGAUGACGUCAAGUCAUCAUGACCCUUACGACCAGGGCUACACACGUGCUACAAUGGCGCAUACAAAGAGAAGCGACCUCGCGAGAGCAAGCGGACCUCAUAAAGUGCGUCGUAGUCCGGAUUGGAGUCUGCAACUCGACUCCAUGAAGUCGGAAUCGCUAGUAAUCGUGGAUCAGAAUGCCACGGUGAAUACGUUCCCGGGCCUUGUACACACCGCCCGUCACACCAUGGGAGUGGGUUGCAAAAGAAGUAGGUAGCUUAACCUUCGGGAGGGCGCUUACCACUUUGUGAUUCAUGACUGGGGUGAAGUCGUAACAAGGUAACCGUAGGGGAACCUGCGGUUG